Long non-coding RNA from Drosophila gunungcola (fruit fly), 620 nucleotides. RefSeq lists it as uncharacterized. The transcript has 2 exons. The record is from RefSeq and is a predicted model, not a curated record. Lineage: Eukaryota; Metazoa; Arthropoda; Insecta; Diptera; Drosophilidae.
UUGAGUUUUAUAAUUAUUUUAUAUAGUUCCUCAAACAAUGCCACAUCGUAAGAAACACUAGAUGUCUAAGAAGUAUAAAAUAAUUGGUCACAAUUUUCCAGAAUCGAUUUACGUAAUGACUAGAACCAAUUUUAUAAACAACGGUUCUGCAAAAAGGUCUAUAAAACCUCGAAUCCAUAGGAGCGAGUGUUAGUUUUUUCACCAGAGCUGAACAAUUUUCGUAAAAUGAAAGUGAUUCUUAUUACUCUUUUAUUAAUAACCCUACUUGUUUUUGUAAUGGGCCUAGAAAACUCUGACUGCGAACCCCUUAUUGAGCCUAGGAGGAAAUGCAAACCUUCUGAUCCCGUUCGCCGAGGAUUUACAUAUGACGAAUCAGCAAAUAAAUGUGAAAAAAAAGAAAUAUGUACGCUAAAAACUAAAGGCAACAAUUUUUACAAGGAUAUCGCUGCAUGCGAAGCAAAGUGCAAGAAAUAACAAACCAUCGUAAACAGUCAGGCUUAAAAUAAAUUAAGUUAUCCUGUUCAGAAAAAAAUGUUAACUACACCCAAAGAAAAUACACUGAAAGUUUAGUUUUAAAACGUGUGUCUGGAAAAUAAACAACAUACAGUACAAAAGUAUAA